ACCCGAGCACCGGGCCGCCAAUGCCAGCGCCGCCAUGGACCACCUCCAGGACGGCCUCCUCGCCCUCGCCGACGUGCACACGGCGUGUUCCGAGAGGGGCUGCUCGACCUCAGAUGUUACGACGCCGAGGACCAGGCCGUACUCCGGCGCCACAACGGUGCGAGGUUGCCGCCUUGCGUCCGCGGUCCGCGUCUAGCACCAUGCCGACAAGGACCUUGCUCGCCUCGCGUCCUCCCCGCGUGGCGCUACCAGACUCCCAUAGACGACGAGGUGUCCGAGACUCCGACCCCGAGGUGCUCGCCGAGGCCAUGGCCAUCGUGGCGUCCACGUCCACGUCCGUGUUUCGUCCGCCGCGGCAUCUGCUUCCUCCAAGAAACGGCAGCGACGGCGACACUCAUGUCCUUGAUGACCCGAAGCAGCAAAGGCCACUGCCACCAACGUGCUGCACUGGAGACCCGUAGCAGCAAAGGCCGCUGCCGCCGACGUGCUGAGCAGCUUGACCACGAGUGCUUCUACACGUUGCUGGCAUCCACGACCUCGGGCUCGCCUUGUAAGGUCGAGGAUUGCUACCUUUUUUUUCAGAAAAGCAGUAGGUCUGAACUUUGAAGUUGAGAGAGUAAUGCGAUGAGAGUAAUGGCUAACAAAUGAAGUGGCACAAGCAGUAACAGUUCAAGUCUUUUUUUUCUAUAAAAAAAUGAUUUCAAGUGCACAAGCAGUGCUUGGCUGAAGUCCAAUUACUAUAUGUUCC
This is a long non-coding RNA of Sorghum bicolor (sorghum), 748 nucleotides long. RefSeq lists it as uncharacterized. NCBI's taxonomy places the organism in Eukaryota, Viridiplantae, Streptophyta, Magnoliopsida, Poales, Poaceae. The transcript has 2 exons. The record is from RefSeq and is a predicted model, not a curated record.